UCCCGAAUACCCGUUUAUUUGGCCCAAAUAUUACACAAAACCCAUAUUCUAUUCAUCCAUUCUCACCCAAAAACCCUAGACAACUUCUCCUCUCCCGUUCAUCCAUCUGCCACAACCUAACUUCUCCUCUCAAAUCUCUAAUGUCGACGAUGGUUUAAGCACCAUAUUCGCUGUUGCGCAUCAUCCUAACCCACCAUUUCCGCCGCUGUGCAUCGUCCAAUCCCACCAUGGCCGCCGCUACACAUUCUCCAAACCCUAUAUCUGAUACCGUAGCACUCUAGAUAGAAGAUCAAUCGAAUGGAUGAAACGAGGGAGUGCGUGGAAGACGAUUAGUCCUAUUUUGUAAUCUACCAAAUUCUUCGUCAAUCGCUCGAUUCCUCUAAUUACAGAAUGGAGCAAGAAAUGAUUGAGAUAAAUUCAAACAAAAUGCUGGCAUGCUAAUGUAUAUGCAAGUGUCACUUAAUGAGGGCUUCUUAGACCCUUUUUCCCGCUCAAUGCUGGAAAUAUGGGAACUGGGUUAUGUAACCGGGUCAUACGGCAAAACCUGAAGAGGGAAAAUGUGGAUCGAGAACAACAAAAAUUCAGGUGGAUCCUAAUACAAAGAGGUUAAAUUUACAAGUUGUAAGUGUUGAAGUUGACAAUAUAGGAGCAGUGAGGUUCGUUUAAUAUACCAUUAUUUUGUCAAUAUUUGGAAUGUCAAUAACCCAUGCACAAAUACGAGCCAAAGUUGAUAAAAAUGACGGGGAGACUAAAGUUGUGAGAUUGUAUGCUUUCAUAUGGGAAGGGGAUGCGGCAGCUAAGUGACAAACGAGCUAAGACUCUCCAUUCAUUUAUAUUGUUGAAGCAUUUUAAUUAAAAAAAGUUACAACGGGUCAUUUCCUAAUUCAAAAAUACAAAAAUGGAAAAAUGGAAAACUAUUUCUCAACGUGUUUAAGAUCAAAACAUGUCAGUGCUUUUAUAUGUAUCCGGAUUAUAUUUGUAGAUUCACUUUGUCACUGGACUUAUGUAAUAUAUUUAACUUUUUGUUAUA
Molecule: long non-coding RNA, 1030 nt
Organism: Helianthus annuus (common sunflower)
Lineage: Eukaryota; Viridiplantae; Streptophyta; Magnoliopsida; Asterales; Asteraceae
Exons: 6
Source: RefSeq, a predicted model, not a curated record